GAUCCUGGCUCAGGAUGAACGCUAGGGGCAGGCCUAACACAUGCAAGUCGAGGGGCAGCACGAUGUAGCAAUACACUGGUGGCGACCGGCGCACGGGUGCGUAACGCGUAUGCAACCUACCCAUAACAGUGGGAUAACACUGAGAAAUUGGUACUAAUACCCCAUAACAUCAGGACCGGCAUCGGUUCUGGUUGAAAACUCCGGUGGUUAUGGAUGGGCAUGCGUUGUAUUAGCUGGUUGG
RNAcentral lists this ribosomal RNA (241 nucleotides) under uncultured bacterium. RNAcentral describes it as "partial 16S ribosomal RNA". It matches the Rfam family "Bacterial small subunit ribosomal RNA", at positions 15 to 252 of the family's 1533-position model. The record is from RNAcentral.